Molecule: non-coding RNA, 30 nt
Filed under: Mus musculus (house mouse)
Lineage: Eukaryota; Metazoa; Chordata; Mammalia; Rodentia; Muridae
Source: RNAcentral
UGCUAAACAGGUAUCCUGUGGAAUGUGCUU